AAGCCCUUUUUUUUAGCAGUGAGUUAUCUUACUCAGCUACGAUUGAAGGGCUUGC
This 55-nucleotide microRNA precursor is filed under the name Monodelphis domestica (gray short-tailed opossum). RNAcentral describes it as "microRNA mdo-mir-7373e precursor". The record is from miRBase by way of RNAcentral. Lineage: Eukaryota; Metazoa; Chordata; Mammalia; Didelphimorphia; Didelphidae.